AAUUUUACAAAUAAUGUAUGGAUAUGACACUUUUUCCUCUGUAGUGUAAAUUCAAUGUGCUCAUGAAGUUAAGGCCUUUAGGCCUUGUGUUUACACAUUCCAUAUGUUUGUUAUGGCAAUUAAGCACUGCAUGCAAUUAGGAACUAAACACAUACUUGGCUGUUCCCCAUUGUAAACUACGUGAUGUGAGUAUAGACAGCAGAGUUUGAUUAUAGUUUAUUUGUCAGCACGACCACUGUACCUGUACCCGGACUGAUGACCUCCUAGGACACUGAUCAGCUGAUGGAGGCAACAAAGGCAGGAUGUAAAAGAAGAUGGUUGGAGAGUCCCUAGUGAUCAGGGCUUUGAGACCUGAAUAAGAUGACCCUGUUUUGACAUCAGCCCCAGAUUUAGGACUUGUUUAGGUGGAGUUACAGCCCCUUGCAG
Saccostrea cuccullata (small rock oyster) is the source of this 426-nucleotide long non-coding RNA. RefSeq lists it as uncharacterized. NCBI's taxonomy places the organism in Eukaryota, Metazoa, Mollusca, Bivalvia, Ostreida, Ostreidae. The record is from RefSeq and is a predicted model, not a curated record. The transcript has 3 exons.